GAGGAAGAAAACAACCUGACAUCAGAGGACUUUGAAAUCCUGGUCAUUAACAUGGACUACGGCAUGAAAGACGAGAACAGCAAAAAUGCAUCCAGGAUUGGCACAACGUGCUUUUCUGAGCAGCUGAUCAGGGUCUUCUGUAAGAAGACUGAUAGAAAGAGUGUGAAGGCUGCAAAAAAGCACUUUGAACAGUGGAAGUUCGAGAAGAAGCCGCAUCUGCUUGGACCUGAGGGUAAUUAAAAGACCAUGGAAAUGACUCAACAACAUGAAUAACACAGAAUUAUUUCUUAUUCAGACUCAGGACUCUUUCUAGCUUUUAUCAUAUACAUGUUGUAUUGUUGUUUUAAAUUGUUGACUCCCUUCUGCAUCUGCAUAAGUUCCAACAACAUACAACAUGUUUUAUUGAGGACAAAGAUAAAUCAUAAUAUAUAAUAAUAUAAACUGAUACAUAGACACACAUGACACUGGAUACUUACACAGCUAGCAGCUGUAUGGCUGUUGAAUACCAUUUAGGUAAAGAAAGCCAUUAUUGAAAUCCAACAAUCAUUGUCUCAAACUGAAUAUAUAAACUGCAUGUUUCUGAAUUGAUUCAGCUUUUGGUCACAUUUAUGCUUCUUUGUAGGUUGUGAAUUCUUUUUGGUCGGGGAAAGAUGUAAAGCACUCCCAACAUGUGUAAUGGAGUGAAUAUUUCACUUGUGGUUUUAUUUAGGGAUUUAUAAUACUCAGUGGUGUUUUAGUUUUGAUGUUAA
This is a non-coding RNA of Labrus bergylta (ballan wrasse), 749 nucleotides long. The record is from RefSeq and is a predicted model, not a curated record. Lineage: Eukaryota; Metazoa; Chordata; Actinopteri; Labriformes; Labridae.